UAAGCGGAGGAAAAGAAACUAACAAGGAUUCCCCUAGUAACUGCGAGUGAAGCGGGAAAAGCUCAAAUUUAAAAUCUGGUGGUCUUUGGCCAUCCGAGUUGUAAUUUAGAGAAGCGUCUUCCGCGCUGGACCGUGCACAAGUCUCCUGGAAUGGAGCGUCAUAGAGGGUGAGAAUCCCGUCUUUGGCACGGAUGUACCAGGGCUUUUGUGAUGCGCUCUCGAAGAGUCGAGUUGUUUGGGAAUGCAGCUCAAAAUGGGUGGUGAACUCCAUCUAAAGCUAAAUAUUGGCGAGAGACCGAUAGCGAACAAGUACCGUGAGGGAAAGAUGAAAAGCACUUUGGAAAGAGAGUGAAACAGUACGUGAAAUUGUUGAAAGGGAAACGCUUGAAGUCAGUCGCGUCGACCGAGACUCAGCCUUGCCUCGGCUUGGUGUACUUCUCGGCUGACGGGUCAGCAUCAAUUUUGCCCCUUGGAUAAUGGCGAGGGAAAUGUGACACCUUUACGGUGUGUUAUAGUCCUUCGUCGCAUGCAAGGGUCGGGAUUGAGGAACUCAGCACGCGCCCUCGGGCGUCGGGGCNUUGCCCACGAUACGUGCUUAGGAUGUUGGCGUAAUGNCUUUAAAC
RNAcentral lists this ribosomal RNA (623 nucleotides) under Russula sp. GAL9903. Its description in RNAcentral is "LSU rRNA". It matches the Rfam family "Eukaryotic large subunit ribosomal RNA", at positions 47 to 645 of the family's 3401-position model. Lineage: Eukaryota; Fungi; Basidiomycota; Agaricomycetes; Russulales; Russulaceae. The record is from RNAcentral.